GACGAACGCUGGCGGCGUGCUUAACACAUGCAAGUCGAACGGAAAGGCCCUGCUUGCAGGGUACUCGAGUGGCGAACGGGUGAGUAACACGUGGGUGAUCUGCCCUGCACUUCGGGAUAAGCCUGGGAAACUGGGUCUAAUACCGGAUAGGAGCCAUUUUUAGUGGGAUGGUUGGAAAGUUUUUUUCGGUGUAGGAUGAGCUCGCGGCCUAUCAGCUUGUUGGUGGGGUAAUGGCCUACCAAGGCGGCGACGGGUAGCCGGCCUGAGAGGGUGGACGGCCACAUUGGGACUGAGAUGCGGCCCAGACUCCUACGGGAGGCAGCAGUGGGGAAGAUUGCACAAGGGGCGCAAGCCUGAUGCAGCGGCGCCGCGGGGGGGAUGACGGCCUUCGGGUUGAAAACUCCUUUCGCUAGGAACGAAGCUUUUUGUGACGGUACCUAGAUAAGAAGCACCGGCUAACUACGUG
Molecule: ribosomal RNA, 466 nt
Filed under: uncultured bacterium
Lineage: Bacteria
Description: partial 16S ribosomal RNA
Rfam family: Bacterial small subunit ribosomal RNA
Source: RNAcentral